AUUAUCCAAUAUCCAAGGACAUCUUCACCCUUUAGACUCAAACUCCAAGGUUGGAGAAGGAUUGGUGAAGCUCUCUCCAGAGGUUUCUCAAGCUUUGUCAUGUGGGCAUGCUGUUGUUGCCUUAGAGUCCACUAUUAUUUCCCAUGGGAUGCCAUAUCCUCAAAAUUUGGAGACAGCAAAAGAGGUUGAGGCAAUUGUGAGGGAGAAUGGAGCAGUUCCUGCUACAGUUGCAAUUUUAGAUGGCAAACCAUGCAUAGGUUUAAGCAUGGAAGAGUUGGAGAGACUUGCUACUCUGGGAACUAGAGCACAAAAAACUGCUCGGAGGGAC
Molecule: unclassified non-coding RNA, 328 nt
Filed under: Hevea brasiliensis (rubber tree)
Lineage: Eukaryota; Viridiplantae; Streptophyta; Magnoliopsida; Malpighiales; Euphorbiaceae
Source: RNAcentral